GAGACCUCAGGUCAGGCGGGGCUACCCGC
This 29-nucleotide ribosomal RNA is filed under the name Oxytropis pilosa. Its description in RNAcentral is "partial 25S ribosomal RNA". The record is from RNAcentral. Lineage: Eukaryota; Viridiplantae; Streptophyta; Magnoliopsida; Fabales; Fabaceae.